RNAcentral lists this ribosomal RNA (704 nucleotides) under uncultured bacterium. RNAcentral describes it as "bacterial SSU rRNA". It matches the Rfam family "Bacterial small subunit ribosomal RNA", at positions 212 to 916 of the family's 1533-position model. The record is from RNAcentral.
CCUUCGCUCUAAGAUGAGCCUGCGUCCCAUUAGCUAGUUGGUAGGGUAAUGGCCUACCAAGGCGAUGAUGGGUAGCUGGUCUGAGAGGAUGAUCAGCCACACUGGAACUGAAACACGGUCCAGACUCCUACGGGAGGCAGCAGUGAGGAAUAUUGGGCAAUGGGCGCAAGCCUGACCCAGCCAUGCCGCGUGAAGGAUGAAUGCCCUAUGGGUUGUAAACUUCUUUUGUACGGGACGAAACUCCUGGUCGUGACCGGGAUUGACUGUACCGUGCGAAUAAGCAUCGGCUAACUCCGUGCCAGCAGCCGCGGUAAUACGGAGGAUGCAAGCGUUAUCCGGAUUCAUUGGGUUUAAAGGGUGCGUAGGCGGAAUAAUAAGUCAGUGGUGAAAGCCUGCGGCUUAACCGUAGAAAUGCCAUUGAUACUGUUAUUCUUGAGUAUAGUUGAGGUGGGCGGAAUGUGUAAUGUAGCGGUGAAAUGCUUAGAUAUUACACAGAACACCAAUUGCGAAGGCAGCUCACUAAGCUGUUACUGACGCUGAGGCACGAAAGCGUGGGGAGCAAACAGGAUUAGAUACCCUGGUAGUCCACGCCGUAAACGAUGAUCACUCGUUGUUGGCGAUACACCGUCAGCGACUGAGCGAAAGCAAUAAGUGAUCCACCUGGGGAGUACGGCGGCAACGCUGAAACUCAAAGGAAUUGACGG